GACGAACGCUGGCGGCGUGCCUAAUACAUGCAAGUAGAACGCUGAAGAGAGGAGCUUGCUCUUCUUGGAUGAGUUGCGAACGGGUGAGUAACGCGUAGGUAACCUGCCUUGUAGCGGGGGAUAACUAUUGGAAACGAUAGCUAAUACCGCAUAACAAUGGAUGACACAUGUCAUUUAUUUGAAAGGGGCAAUUGCUCCACUACAAGAUGGACCUGCGUUGUAUUAGCUAGUAGGUGAGGUAACGGCUCACCUAGGCGACGAUACAUAGCCGACCUGAGAGGGUGAUCGGCCACACUGGGACUGAGACACGGCCCAGACUCCUACGGGAGGCAGCAGUAGGGAAUCUUCGGCAAUGGGGGCAACCCUGACCGAGCAACGCCGCGUGAGUGAAGAAGGUUUUCGGAUCGUAAAGCUCUGUUGUAAGUCAAGAACGAGUGUGAGAGUGGAAAAUUCACACUGUGACGGUAGCUUACCAGAAAGGGACGGCUAACUACGUGCCAGCAGCCGCGGUAAUACGUAGGUCCCGAGCGUUGUCCGGAUUUAUUGGGCGUAAAGCGAGCGCAGGCGGUUUGAUAAGUCUGAAGUUAAGGCUGUGGCUCAACCAUAGUUCGCUUUGGAAACUGUCAAACUUGAGUGCAGAAGGGGAGAGUGGAAUUCCAUGUGUAGCGGCGAAAUGCGUAGAUAUAUGGAGGAACACCGGUGGCGAAAGCGGCUCUCUGGUCUGUAACUGACGCUGAGGCUCGAAAGCGUGGGGAGCGAACAGGAUUAGAUACCCUGGUAGUCCACGCCGUAAACGAUGAGUGCUAGGUGUUGGAUCCUUUCCGGGAUUCAGUGCCGCAGCUAACGCAUUAAGCACUCCGCCUGGGGAGUACGACCGCAAGGUUGAAACUCAAAGGAAUUGACGGGGGCCCGCACAAGCGGUGGAGCAUGUGGUUUAAUUCGAAGCAACGCGAAGAACCUUACCAGGUCUUGACAUCCCGAUGCUAUUUCUAGAGAUAGAAAGUUACUUCGGUACAUCGGUGACAGGUGGUGCAUGGUUGUCGUCAGCUCGUGUCGUGAGAUGUUGGGUUAAGUCCCGCAACGAGCGCAACCCCUAUUGUUAGUUGCCAUCAUUCAGUUGGGCACUCUAGCGAGACUGCCGGUAAUAAACCGGAGGAAGGUGGGGAUGACGUCAAAUCAUCAUGCCCCUUAUGACCUGGGCUACACACGUGCUACAAUGGUUGGUACAACGAGUUGCGAGUCGGUGACGGCAAGCUAAUCUCUUAAAGCCAAUCUCAGUUCGGAUUGUAGGCUGCAACUCGCCUACAUGAAGUCGGAAUCGCUAGUAAUCGCGGAUCAGCACGCCGCGGUGAAUACGUUCCCGGGCCU
This 1368-nucleotide ribosomal RNA is filed under the name uncultured bacterium. RNAcentral's name for it is "bacterial SSU rRNA". It matches the Rfam family "Bacterial small subunit ribosomal RNA", at positions 28 to 1381 of the family's 1533-position model. The record is from RNAcentral.